RNAcentral lists this ribosomal RNA (299 nucleotides) under uncultured bacterium. Its description in RNAcentral is "partial 16S ribosomal RNA". It matches the Rfam family "Bacterial small subunit ribosomal RNA", at positions 503 to 793 of the family's 1533-position model. The record is from RNAcentral.
CCGUGCCAGCAGCCGCGGUAAUACGGAGGGUGCGAGCGUUAAUCGGAAUUACUGGGCGUAAAGCGCAUGCAGGCGGCCUGUUAAGUCAGAUGUGAAAGACCCGGGGCGUUAACCUCGGAAUUGCAUUUGUAAACUAGGCAGGCUAGAGUCUUGUAGAGGGGGGUAGGAAGUUUCAGGUGUAGCGGUGAAAUAGCGUAGAGAUCUGAAGGAAUACCAGUGGCGAAGGCGGCCCCCUCGGACAAAGACUGACGCUCAGAUGCGAAAGCGUGGGGAGCAAACAGGAUUAGAUACCCUGGUAG